RNAcentral lists this non-coding RNA (30 nucleotides) under Mus musculus (house mouse). Lineage: Eukaryota; Metazoa; Chordata; Mammalia; Rodentia; Muridae. The record is from RNAcentral.
UGGAUGCUUGAUCGUCAAGUCUAGGCCACU